AUGAUAUCAGUAGAAGUGACCAAAUGCGUCAGAUUCUGGCAACUAUGUGCAUCUUUAAUUUUAACAAGCAACGCAACCAUUCGUAUGUGUUUUUUGUUGUAUUGUAACUUUCAGCGGUUCUUAUGGAUAAAUGUCAUAUUUUUGUUUUAAACUCAAUUUUAGAGAAAGUGCAUGCAAGGACAAAAUGGAAGCAAAAUUUCUGCAGGAUCACAAUACUUGCAAAGCUUUGAUUCUAUUCUCAAAGUGAUCGCUACAAAAUUCCCACUAGAAAAAACCAAAGUUAGAAUAGAAGGAAGCAAGGUUCAACUCAAACCGUGGAUAAUAUUGACGGCCAUGUUAGUGCUUUCGCUGUAACUUGUGCAAGGAAGUCAGUGAUUGCAACAUUUUUUCUUUUUUUGUUUUUUCUUUUUGAAGCAAGUCAUCUUGUAUUGCAUCUGGAUGCACAAAUCCAUUAUCAAAAAAGAUUCCUGGGAUUACUUUUCAAGCGUCAGACAGGAAAAUGCUGAAACUCCUCCACAACUUAAGGACCAAAAGUGUGAUCCUGGCCAACAUCAAUAUUUCCUUUUGUUGAGUAUGUAUUUACAUUCUUUAUUCCUAGACUUUGUAAGGAAGGGGGUAUAUUAUUUUAUUUAUAUAUUUAUUUUGUUGCUGGUGGUCUGGAAAUUAGAUCAUUCCAUAUAUUCUAUAUAUAUGGAUAUUCAGACUUUGAACUUCAUACUGUAUUGAUAUGAUAAUCAGUAACAAAAAAAUCAAAACUUUAGUACACUUGGUGGGAACCACCAUGAAAUUACAUCCAGAAGUAUAGAAAUCGGAAAUUUAUUACUUUAAAAAAAUGGAACUUCAUUGUUCCAUGUGUAAAAUAAAAUCUCACAGAAACUGAAAAAUAUAAAAAAGAAAUUAAUUUACUUGUGUAAAAAUACAUUUAAAAAAUCAAUAAAUUACUUGCUUAUAUUACUUCAAGGGAUAUAAAACUGUUUAUUUAUGUAAAAGAAUAUGUUGCCAAAUAAAAAUAGAUUAAGUAGCAAUUUAUCAUUUCUGCUAAUUUUAAUAUUUCCUUUCUAAAACAUUACUUGGGUUGGGACAUUUCCAGUGCAUUAGAGGGCUGAACUGACUACAUUUAUAUUAUUGACCACCAAUUGUUACUUUACGUUGAAAUAUGAAAUGUAUCCAGAUGAUCAUUUCAUUUAAUAAACAGAUAAAAACUGUUUCCUUUAUUAAAGGCAUAUUUUGAAAAUUACUUUUUAAUGAUUUCAUUAGUUUGAUCCAUUAUUUUUUAAUGAUUUCAGUGCCCAAAUGGAUAAAGCCGGACAAUACCAGUAGUUCAUCCACUGUUUGAAUUUGACUCCUACGUUUCCCUUCCUCUUGGUAGUAAAGAACAGAUUUAUAGAUUUGAAUUACAAAGGAUAUAUUAUUAUAGACUGAAAACCCAUUUUUGUUUAAUUUCUAUUAAUUCUUCUUUAUUCUAUCCUAAAUAUGUCACAGCAAAAAAUAAGUAUUAGAAAAUUUACGACAACUGUCAUAAAUCAAAAUGCUACCUUACAAUUGUUGUCUCAAAUUUUUUACUUUAAUUACUAUGAACAUUAGAAUGUAAGAAUAUUUAAUAACCACGAUAUUUAUUAUAGGCAUAAGGAUUCUUGAAUAUUUAUUAUGGGCAUAAUUGAAGAAAUUUAAGAAAAAGCACGGUGAAAAUUUGCUUGGAAACAGAUAUAAUAGUUAAAUGAUUGUUAAAUAUAACACAAAUAUGGAUCAUUAAAAAGUAAAUCAAAUAUAUAUCAGGGGAUUUAAUUUCAUUAAUAAACUCAAAAAUACUUCAUUAAUAAAGUUAUAAUUAGUAAAAAUGUGUGAAAAUAUUUAUAUAGAGAUCACAUUUGAUUAGAUUAAAUAGGAGCAAGCUAUUAAAUCUCUGCUGCUUUUCAGCAUUCGUUAGGAGCAAAUAUAAAAAAUUUGUUCAUGGUGUUAAAAUUUAUACACAGUAGUUAUGCUUUCAUCAAUCAUUAUAAUAAAAUAAAAGCAAAAUAUAAAUAUGCCCAUCAAUUCUGUAUGUGAUUCUCGCUUUACCGUAUUUAAAUCAUGCCUUUACCACACUUAGAUGUUUAAAAAAAAUCUGUGACUUUUAAAUUGGAUUUUAGAAUUAGGAUAUAUUAAAACUUCAACUACCUUGACUACUUUUUUCAUCAAAAUUGAAUGAUAUUUUUAAAAAGUCCAGAAUCACAGAAUGUAGGCGGAACACAAUUUUUAAGUGAGCAGACUCUUAAAUUGUAUUUCCUAAGAAUAAGAACAUGAACAUUUACGAAAAAUGGGUAUAAGGACAUAUAUGGUAUAAUUAUAAAUAAUUGAUUUAAAAAGGAUCAUUCAUUGCAUUUAAAUACAUUUAAUCGAAGCAAAAAAUAAGCUUAAUCUCCUUGUGUAAUUAACCAAAUUUAGUUCUUUCUGCUGUGCUGAAAGCUGAAGUGGAAAUUUUUCACUUCCAUUUAUGACAAUUAAAUACACUUUGCUCAGGGAUAAAUACAAUAUACUUUGUUCAAUCACUUCCACACUUAAAUAUGACAAGUUUUGAACUUGGUUUCAUACAUAUUAACAACAGCUUUGACAACAACCACACUGAUGGUUCUACAUCUAUAAAUCUUCUUAAUACACACUAUACAUUUAUUUUCUCAUAAGAUAGAACAGGCAAGAAUCAUAGUAAGUAGGAACAAUGUUUAUAAAAGACAAUUUUUAACAUUGGAUCUUCUUUCUUCUUCCCAUAUAAAUUUAUUAACCUAACAAACAUCAUGUCUAUGAAAAUCAUUAUGCAACUUUUAUUUUGACAGCCACUAGGUCAUAAACAUAUGUUUUCACUCACAAAAAUGCUUUAAGUAGGGAAAAUAUUCAUGUUGUAGUAGUAAAUUUUGAAGAAAUAAUUAAAUUUAAUUUUCUAUACAAUCCUCCAGUCACACUUCUUAAAAAUUCAUUCUUUUUCUAAAUAAAGCAGUAAAAAAUAAUUGACUCCCAUAGAACAAAAAUAAUUUUAAAGUAUGAGAUACUGAAAAGCAAUAUAUUUGCAGACUGAAGUAUAUGUUCAUGAUCAAUGAUUGCAAAAAUAAAAAGUUGCAUAAGAACUUUAAUGGGCAUAAUGCAUAAUUAGUAUAAUUUGGACAAAAGGAAAUUUGGUUUAGUGUACACCAAAGGCUGUUAAAAUGAUUAUAUCAUAAUUGUUUUCAGUCUGAGAUAAAAAAAAAAUGUAGCCUUACACUUUCAGCUUCUAAUCUGGUUAUUAACUUUCUGCUUUUUGCAGCAAAUGUAAAUAUAAAUAAUUGCCACAGAUACCAUAAAAAUGUAUCAUGUACUUUUAAAUAAAUGCAUAAUAUUGAAGAAGAAAACAUGAUCUGACAACUAUUAACAAAGCAUCAGACUUAUUUUAUUUGCUUUAUACAAUUAUGUACAAAAUUCACUUCCAAAACAAAGAAUAUGCACAAUAUUGAAAUAUAGCAUCAACAUAAGUAUGCAUUGGACACAAAGUAACAACCUCAAAAGAUUUUACAAAAAAUUUGUUUGAAAAUCAUACUUUUUUUUUUACAUACAUUGAGCUAGAGUACUGAAAAAGACUUGAGUUAUAUAUUAAGAAGCAUUAAUCUUCGCAGCUAUUAAAUCUCGCAAAAGCGCUGAUACCGGAAAGAGAAAAUUUGGCACUUAUAAACCAUGUAAUUCCUACACUGUAUUAUUAAAAAAUGUAAGCCUAAAUGCUUAACAACAUCUAUAAAUUGUUUAGAGAACAACAAAAUGAAUUAAAAGUAUAAAAGCUAAAAUAUAUUUAUUAAUUUUUCCCCCCAAGGAUCUUUUUUUUUUUAAAGAGUUUCUAAAGUUUCUUCUUCCGGAUGAUACUAUUAAGAAAAGUAAGGCACUUUCCAAAUGCAAGACGGCAAAAAAAUUUGGCACGCUUAUUUUCCCUGCAACUCUAAAGAGCUACUGAAAUAUCUUGAAGUUAUUCACUCAGAAUAUUAAGUAGAUAAUGCAAAAGGCAAAACUGCUUAAGCAUUGGAAAUGUAUGUAUUACGAGUAAUUUAUUGGAAAAUCGAGUCAUGAGGAAGACUCAAGUUCUAAUAACUACACUAUUAAACAAGACCUAUUAUCACUGUUUGUCCAUCAUUCAUAAAAACUUCCUCAUUUACUGGAACAUUUUACACAAAAUGUAGGUUUCUCAAAAUGUCUUAGCAUUUGAAAAGAAUCAUCAUUUGCUAUGUUUGAUAGGUAAUAGUGAAAUUAUAAAAACAAAUAUUACUUGCAUGUUGUUGUUGUUGUUUUCCAACUGCAAAACUAAGCAUAAAAAUUCAUACAGAUAACUAAGGGAAAAGAACACCAAACAAUACAAUUUUUCUAAAAAGUAAAAUUAACAGCAUCAAUAUUUUGUUUUAAAUAUGUACAUUAAAAUCUGAAUGAAUGGUAUGUUUAAAAAAUUAACACAUUAGUUAAAUUCCUUUGUUUACAAAAAAAUUUUCUGUCACAUACAUAAAAUAUGAAGUUGUCAUAUUCCAAUAAAAUAUCAAAAUACAUUAAAAUACUUUACACACUAUUAAGUAAAUUAAAAGGAAUCUUGAAUAUCUCUACACAUUACAGUUAUAAACAAAAUCCACAAGACAUUCUAGAAUACUUACAAACAGAUCACAGUAAUGCCAAACAUCUUAAAUCCUCCAUAACUUCAGUAGUCAAUAUAAAGCAAAAUUCCAACAGAUGCUACUGCUUUACACUGAAGCAUCAUGUUCAAUGAGUCCAUCUACAUAUAAAUGAACUUACAGACUUGAAAUGUUCAUUGAUUGCAGUGACAAAUAAUCUGUGCAUCAGUAUUAUAAAUCCUAUCUUUCCAGGUUUAAUGACUUAGCACAAAUGAAGCAGUGCCUCUUCCAUAAAAAUUAAUUAAUUUUUUCAAAAAUUAGAUUAUGAACAUUGGAAUAACUUUAUACAUUGGUCAUUUACAAAAUAAAUAAAAGUACAAUCAAAGGAAAAUAUGCUGAUCAUUCGCCUUUCAAUUCCACAGAUUUUAAUCACAAAAUAAAAGCACACAAGAAAACAAAUACCUAAAAAGAUUUUUUGUUUGUUUUGUUCCAGAAGAAUACAAAUAUAGCACUAUAGGGAAUAGAUUCUUCUUCACUGAAUUUUUAAAAGUUUUCUUUAAUGACGUAUUUAACUUCCCAUAAGUGAAUAAAAGUACCAAGAUAACCAAGUUCAUGACCAGAUGAUGAUUUCACAUUUAAUUUUUCCUAAGAUUGCUUCCUGCAGCUAUCACAGCCAAGGAAAAUGUGGACUCCUUUUUUUUUUUAAUCUUUUUUUUACACAAUGUUACAAAUUAUUCUAUACAGUUGAUAAUUCAGGUAAUGUUCACCUUGCAAGAAACUGGUACAAGGUUAGCAAUAGCAAUGACAUUGUUGU
Long non-coding RNA from Stegodyphus dumicola, 5403 nucleotides. The record is from RefSeq and is a predicted model, not a curated record. NCBI's taxonomy places the organism in Eukaryota, Metazoa, Arthropoda, Arachnida, Araneae, Eresidae.